AUUGAACGCUGGCGGCAUGCCUUACACAUGCAAGUCGAACGGCAGCACGGGAGCAAUCCUGGUGGCGAGUGGCGAACGGGUGAGUAAUAUAUCGGAACGUGCCCAGUCGUGGGGAUAACGCAGCGAAAGCUGUGCUAAUACCGCAUACGAUCUAAGGAUGAAAGCGGGGGAUCGCAAGACCUCGCGCGAUUGGAGCGGCCGAUAGCAGAUUAGCUAGUUGGUGGGGUAAAGGCCCACCAAGGCGACGAUCUGUAGCUGGUCUGAGAGGACGACCAGCCACACUGGAACUGAGACACGGUCCAGACUCCUACGGGAGGCAGCAGUGGGGAAUUUUGGACAAUGGGCGCAAGCCUGAUCCAGCAAUGCCGCGUGCAGGAUGAAGGCCUUCGGGUUGUAAACUGCUUUUGUACGGAACGAAACGGCCCUUUCUAAUACAGGGGGCUAAUGACGGUACCGUAAGAAUAAGCACCGGCUAACUACGUGCCAGCAGCCGCGGUAA
Molecule: ribosomal RNA, 499 nt
Filed under: uncultured bacterium
Lineage: Bacteria
Description: partial 16S ribosomal RNA
Rfam family: Bacterial small subunit ribosomal RNA
Source: RNAcentral